UCCCGCAAAAAUUCAUUUAAUUUCGCCCCCGCCCCGCCCACCGCGCCCGUCCCGCCGCCCCCGCCCGCCUACGGGAGGCAGCAGGGGGGAAUAUUGCACAAUGGGCGAAAGCCUGAUGCAGCAACGCCGCGUGAGGGAUGACGGCCUUCGGGUUGUAAACCUCUUUUAGCAGGGAAGAAGCGAAAGUGACGGUACCUGCAGAAAAAGCGCCGGCUAACUACGUGCCAGCAGCCGCGGUAAUACGUAGGGCGCAAGCGUUAUCCGGAAUUAUUGGGCGUAAAGAGCUCGUAGGCGGUUUGUCGCGUCUGCUGUGAAAUCCCGAGGCUCAACCUCGGGCCUGCAGUGGGUACGGGCAGACUAGAGUGCGGUAGGGGAGAUUGGAAUUCCUGGUGUAGCGGUGGAAUGCGCAGAUAUCAGGAGGAACACCGAUGGCGAAGGCAGAUCUCUGGGCCGUAACUGACGCUGAGGAGCGAAAGGGUGGGGAGCAAACAGGCUUAGAUACCCUGGUAGUCCACCCCGUAAACGUUGGGAACUAGUUGUGGGGACCAUUCCACGGUUUCCGUGACGCAGCUAACGCAUUAAGUCCCCGCCUGCGAUAACAACGAUGGG
This 609-nucleotide ribosomal RNA is filed under the name uncultured Microbacterium sp. Its description in RNAcentral is "bacterial SSU rRNA". It matches the Rfam family "Bacterial small subunit ribosomal RNA", at positions 320 to 1533 of the family's 1533-position model. The record is from RNAcentral. Lineage: Bacteria; Bacillati; Actinomycetota; Actinomycetes; Micrococcales; Microbacteriaceae.